Molecule: ribosomal RNA, 207 nt
Filed under: uncultured bacterium
Lineage: Bacteria
Description: partial 16S ribosomal RNA
Rfam family: Bacterial small subunit ribosomal RNA
Source: RNAcentral
CAUGUAGAUGGUCUGAUUUGUCGGAUAUAAAAUAUCCCGGCUUAACCGGGAAAGGUUAUCCGAAACGGUCAGGCUAGAGUUUGGGAGAGGGAAGCGGAACUCCCGGUGUAGCGGUGAAAUGCGUAGAUAUCGGGAGGAACACCGGUGGCGAAGGCGGCUUUCUAACCCAAAACUGACAUCGAAAUGCGAAAGCUAGGGGAGCAAACA